UACGAAGGGGGCUAGCGUUGCUCGGAAUCACUGGGCGUAAAGGGUGCGUAGGCGGGUCUUUAAGUCUGGGGUGAAAUCCUGGAGCUCAACUCCAGAACUGCCUUUGAUACUGAAGAUCUUGAGUUCGGGAGAGGUGAGUGGAACUGCGAGUGUAGAGGUGAAAUUCGUAGAUAUUCGCAAGAACACCAGUGGCGAAGGCGGCUCACUGGCCCGAUACUGACGCUGAGGCACGAAGGCGUGGGGAGCAAACAGG
This 253-nucleotide ribosomal RNA is filed under the name uncultured bacterium. RNAcentral describes it as "partial 16S ribosomal RNA". It matches the Rfam family "Bacterial small subunit ribosomal RNA", at positions 524 to 776 of the family's 1533-position model. The record is from RNAcentral.